CGAGCACACAUCAGUGGGUCGACUUGACGACUCAGGCAACAACAGAGAAUACCGAUGAAGAAGAAGCAUCGCCGAUUUCAUGCUAUCUUAAAAUGUGAUCAUUGAUGUCAUCUGUUAGCAAAAUGGCUUUGAAACGUUCAUCUGUAUUCUACGCUAGUAAACCCAUAUAGAUUAUGAGUGUAUCUCUUUGUCAUCAAACAAUGAAUUGCGCAAUUGCAUUUGGUUCUCAUACUACUACAGCACAGCGUGACACUAUUUCUCAUCGACUGAGUCGACAGCGGCACAACAAAUUACAUUAUUUUUGAAACGCAAUUUAUAUAGUCUCUAUGAAACAUUUGUUAAAUAUUCACACCGAAAUGGGAAAAAUAUGUUAAGCGGAACUGGCAAACUAAAAAUGCAAUCAUGAAAUUGCAGUUUCAUUGCUUAUUGAGCGAGAAGGAGGAAAAUAGAUAGAUAUUGUGGCAAUGAAUCUAAAAAAACUUGUAAUGCAUUUCAUAUUUCUUUUAUCUAUUACAUACAUAUAUUAAAAAUUGUUAUCUUAA
Long non-coding RNA from Stomoxys calcitrans (stable fly), 542 nucleotides. RefSeq lists it as uncharacterized. The transcript has 2 exons. Lineage: Eukaryota; Metazoa; Arthropoda; Insecta; Diptera; Muscidae. The record is from RefSeq and is a predicted model, not a curated record.